Molecule: unclassified non-coding RNA, 520 nt
Filed under: uncultured Entrophospora
Lineage: Eukaryota; Fungi; Glomeromycota; Glomeromycetes; Entrophosporales; Entrophosporaceae
Description: SSU rRNA
Rfam family: Eukaryotic small subunit ribosomal RNA
Source: RNAcentral
AGCAGCCGCGGUAAUUCCAGCUCCAAUAGCGUAUAUUAAAGUUGUUGCAGUUAAAAAGCUCGUAGUUGAAUUUCGGGAUUGGCGCAUCGGUCGUGCCUCACGGGGUAUGAACUGGUGCAGUCAAUUUCCCACCUUCUGGAGAACCGCGAUGUCCUUAAUUGGAUGCCGUGGGGAACCAGGACCUUUACUUUGAAAAAUUGAGUGUUUAAAGCAGGCAUUUUUGCUUGAAUACAUUAGCAUGGAAUAAUAAAAUAGGACGGCAUGGUUCUAUUUUGUUGGUUUCUAGGACCACCGUAAUGAUUAAUAGGGAUAGUUGGGGGCAUUAGUAUUCAAUUGUCAGAGGUGAAAUUCUUGGAUUUAUUGAAGACUAACUACUGCGAAAGCAUUUGCCAAGGAUGUUUUCAUUAAUCAAGAACGAAAGUUAGGGGAUCGAAGACGAUCAGAUACCGUCGUAGUCUUAACCAUAAACUAUGCCGACUAGGAAUCAGACGAUGUUAAUUUUUUAAUGUACUCGUUUGGC